GCAUUUUUCAUAAACGCUGCUAAAGGUAAAGCAAUAGCGGUGUUUAUGAGAAAAACGCCACAAAUAUCCUUUUAUUUUUAAGGAAAUGACGUCGUUUUUGAUAGCCUUAGUUUCAUCCCUAAAUCAGUUUCCCGAAACCCCUUAUUUUUUUCCCAAAUCCCUUAGUUUUUCCCCAAAUCAAAUUCCCCAAAUCCCUUGGAUUUUCCCCGAAUGUCUACUGCAUUGCCGUCGACAGUCCUCUGCCGCAUCGCUGUCGACCGUCCUCUAUUGCAUCGUCAUAAACACCUCUUCUAUAUAAACAUUUCACCAGAAGCAGCAACCCAGAAAAGAGAGAGAGAGACAGGCAAGACAAACAACUCUACAAGGAGAAAAAAAAAAAAGAAAGAAGAUAAAACAGUAAUUUGGUAAUUUUUCAUUUCAUUCUAUAUUUUUUAUAUCUAUUUUUUUUUUAAAUUCGGAUAAUAUUCUUAAUUUGGUUGAAUUUUACUAGUCGGGACUAUAAUUUUUUAGGGUUUUUUUUGGGUUCUUUUUUGAAGUAUAAUUGAUUAUGAGAAGCUGAAAUCUCUUUGUUCUUU
Molecule: long non-coding RNA, 575 nt
Organism: Gossypium arboreum
Lineage: Eukaryota; Viridiplantae; Streptophyta; Magnoliopsida; Malvales; Malvaceae
Exons: 2
Source: RefSeq, a predicted model, not a curated record